GUGCUUCUACAAAAAUGUUUUUGCCAGACACUAGGAUGCAAAAGAAAGUAAUUCCUGCACUUUCUGUCUGUCUCCAUAGCAGCCCAGAUUGAAUUGGGGAAUACAAUG
This 108-nucleotide small nucleolar RNA is filed under the name Castor canadensis (American beaver). RNAcentral's name for it is "Small nucleolar RNA SNORA31 (ENSCCNG00000026459.1)". It matches the Rfam family "Small nucleolar RNA SNORA31". From Rfam's summary of the family: ACA31 (SNORA31) belongs to the H/ACA class of snoRNAs which are thought to guide the sites of modification of uridines to pseudouridines. Lineage: Eukaryota; Metazoa; Chordata; Mammalia; Rodentia; Castoridae. The record is from Rfam by way of RNAcentral.